Cyprinus carpio carpio is the source of this 1459-nucleotide long non-coding RNA. NCBI's taxonomy places the organism in Eukaryota, Metazoa, Chordata, Actinopteri, Cypriniformes, Cyprinidae. The record is from Ensembl.
UAUCUGCAGCAACCACAUCUUUGUCUUUUUGCUGUCCGAGACAUUAAACCAGGAGAAGAGAUUACUUACAGCUAUGGAGACUGGGAUUGGCAAGCCAAGCGUUCAUCACCUGCUCCUGUGACUGCUACAUCAUCCUCAUCCUCAUCCUCACCUGUGAGGAAAAGUUCAUCACCUGCCCCUGUUACUGCUACAUCAUCCUCAUCCUCAUCUGUGAGGAAAAGUUCAUCACCUGCCCCUGUGACUGCUACAUCAUCCUCAUCCUCAACUGUGAGGAAACGUUCAUCACCUGCCCCUGUGACUGCUACAUCAUCCUCAUCCUCACCUGUGAGGAAAAGUUCAUCACCUGCCCCUGUGACUGCUACAUCAUCCUCAUCCUCACCUGUGAGGAAACGUUCAUCACCUGCCCCUGUGACUGCUACAUCAUCCUCAUCCUCACCUGUGAGGAAAAGUUCAUCAUCUGCCCCUGUGACUGCUACAUCAUCCUCAUCCUCACCUGUGAGGAAACGUUCAUCACCUACCCCUGUGACUGCUACAUCAUCCUCAUCCUCACCUGUGAGGCAGCGUUCAUCAUCUGCCCCUGUUACUGCUACAUCAUCCUCAUCCUCAUCCUCACCUGUGAGGAAAAGUUCAUCACCUGCUCGUGUGACUGCUACAUCAUCUUCAUCCUCACCUGUGAGGAAAAGUUCAUCACCUGCCCCUGUGACUGCUACAUCAUCCUCAUCCUCACCUGUGAGGAAAAGUUCAUCACCUGCCCCUGUGACUGCUACAUCAUCCUCAUCCUCACCUGUGAGGAAACGUUCAUCACCUGCUCCUGUUACUGCUACAUCAUCCUCAUCCUCACCUGUGAGGAAAAGUUCAUCACCUGCCCCUGUGACUGCUACAUCAUCCUCAUCCUCACCUGUGAGGCAGCGUUCAUCAAGAAAAAGACAGGAGAGGUUUCAGUCAAGAUUGGUCAAACUACGGGAACAUCAUAACAAUUGCUCCAAGCGCUUCAAUAGAGCAGAAGUUGAAAAAACCAACAGAACAAAAAAGACUGCCAUACUUGAGGAUUGCGUUGUGAGUAAAGUGUAAACAUGAUCAUCACAUUACUUUAACACCUCAGUGUAUUUAAAAGGGGUCUUAUUCUGCGUUUUCACUUUUGCAGCUCUAGGUUUUCGUCGGUCGAGAGGGAGCUGCUGUUGUAGUGGAGUAUUGUUGUCAUUGCCCCCAAAAACAAAAGAAAGGAAAACUGCUCUUGACUGAAUCACUUAUUAACUUAAAUAAGAAUCAUCUAUAUUUAAUGUAUAGAGUGAAGAUUAUUUUUACAUUAAUUACUUCAUAAAAAUAUCUGUAGUAGGCUAUUUUUAGAAGCCUUUACUUGGCUACUAUCUGAAAAGAAAACUAUUUAAUUUGUAUUUGUGAGUAAUAUAUUCAUAUAUCAUUUAGCUUGUAAGUAAUAUUUAGUGUUUAAUUGCCUUCA